CUGAGCGAGGGCUCCGGUCCGACCUCCAACCCAUUGCAGUUACCAACCAUGUUGCCUCGGGGGUGACCCGGCCUCGGCCUCGGCGCCCCCGGAGGACCACGUCACUCUGCGUCCUUGCGUCGGAGUUUGAGGGAAAAUGUUUAAUCA
Molecule: unclassified non-coding RNA, 147 nt
Filed under: uncultured fungus
Lineage: Eukaryota; Fungi
Description: sequence contains ITS1, 5.8S rRNA gene
Source: RNAcentral